This 467-nucleotide ribosomal RNA is filed under the name uncultured bacterium. RNAcentral's name for it is "partial 16S ribosomal RNA". It matches the Rfam family "Bacterial small subunit ribosomal RNA", at positions 28 to 506 of the family's 1533-position model. The record is from RNAcentral.
GACGAACGCUGGCGGCGUGCUUAACACAUGCAAGUCGAACGGAAAGGCCCUGCUUUUGUGGGGUGCUCGAGUGGCGAACGGGUGAGUAACACGUGAGUAACCUGCCCUUGACUUUGGGAUAACUUCAGGAAACUGGGGUUAAUACCGGAUAGGAGCUCCUGCUGCAUGGUGGGGGUUGGAAAGUUUCGGCGGUUGGGGAUGGACUCGCGGCUUAUCAGCUUGUUGGUGGGGUAGUGGCUUACCAAGGCUUUGACGGGUAGCCGGCCUGAGAGGGAGACCGGCAACAUGGGGAGUGAGAUACGGCCCAGACGCCUACGGGGGGCAGGGGUGGGAAAUAUUGCACAGUGGGCGGAAGCCUGAUGCAGCAGCGCCGGGUGCGGGAAGGCGGCCUUCGGGGUGUAAACCGCUUUCGCGUGUGACGAAGCGUGAGUGACGGUAAUGGGUAAAGAAGCACCGGCUAACUACGU